RNAcentral lists this ribosomal RNA (404 nucleotides) under Clostridioides difficile. RNAcentral's name for it is "bacterial SSU rRNA". It matches the Rfam family "Bacterial small subunit ribosomal RNA", at positions 1139 to 1533 of the family's 1533-position model. Lineage: Bacteria; Bacillati; Bacillota; Clostridia; Peptostreptococcales; Peptostreptococcaceae. The record is from RNAcentral.
UCUAGAGAGACUGCCAGGGAUAACCUGGAGGAAGGUGGGGAUGACGUCAAAUCAUCAUGCCCCUUAUGCUUAGGGCUACACACGUGCUACAAUGGGUAGUACAGAGGGUUGCCAAGCCGUAAGGUGGAGCUAAUCCCUUAAAGCUACUCUCAGUUCGGAUUGUAGGCUGAAACUCGCCUACAUGAAGCUGGAGUUACUAGUAAUCGCAGAUCAGAAUGCUGCGGUGAAUGCGUUCCCGGGUCUUGUACACACCGCCCGUCACACCACGGGAGUUGGAGACGCCCGAAGCCGAUUAUCUAACCUUUUGGAAGAAGUCGUCGAAGGUGGAAUCAAUAACUGGGGUGAAGUCGUAACAAGGUAGCCGUAUCGGAAGGUGCGGCUGGAUCACCUCCUUUCUAAGGAGA